UCGCCACGGUAAUACCAGCUCUCCGAGUGGUGGGGACGAUUAUUGGGCCUAAAGCAUCCGUAGCCGGCUAGGCAAGUCCCCCCGUAAAUCCACGAUUUAAUCGUUGGUCUGCGGGGGAGUACUGCUUGGCUAGGAGGCGGGGAGAGGCCGUCGGUAUUCUUGGGGUAGGGGUGAAAUCCUAUAAUCCCAAGAGGACCACCAGUGGCGAAGGC
RNAcentral lists this ribosomal RNA (212 nucleotides) under uncultured archaeon. RNAcentral describes it as "partial 16S ribosomal RNA". It matches the Rfam family "Archaeal small subunit ribosomal RNA", at positions 462 to 673 of the family's 1478-position model. The record is from RNAcentral.